RNAcentral lists this ribosomal RNA (447 nucleotides) under uncultured bacterium. Its description in RNAcentral is "bacterial SSU rRNA". It matches the Rfam family "Bacterial small subunit ribosomal RNA", at positions 329 to 793 of the family's 1533-position model. The record is from RNAcentral.
GUCCAGACUCCUACGGGAGGCAGCAGUGGGGAAUAUUGCACAAUGGGGGGAACCCUGAUGCAGCGACGCCGCGUGAGUGAAGAAGUAUUUCGGUAUGUAAAGCUCUAUCAGCGGGGACGAAGAUGACGGUACCUGCAGAAGAAGCCCCGGCUAACUACGUGCCAGCAGCCGCGGUAAUACGUAGGUGGCAAGCGUUGUCCGGAUUUACUGGGUGUAAAGGGCGUGCAGCCGGGAAGACAAGUCAGAUGUGAAAUCCCGCGGCUCAACCGCGGAACUGCAUUUGAAACUGUUUUUCUUGAGUAUCGGAGAGGUAAUCGGAAUUCCUAGUGUAGCGGUGAAAUGCGUAGAUAUUAGGAAGAACACCAGUGGCGAAGGCGGAUUACUGGACGACAACUGACGGUGAGGCGCGAAAGCGUGGGGAGCAAACAGGAUUAGAUACCCCAGUAC